AACGAACGCUGGCGGCAUGCCUAACACAUGCAAGUCGAACGAGACCUUCGGGUCUAGUGGCGCACGGGUGCGUAACGCGUGGGACCCUGCCCUUAGGUUCGGAAUAACUCCCCGAAAGGGGUGCUAAUACCGGAUAAUGUCUUCGGACCAAAGAUUUAUCGCCUUUGGAUGGGCCCGCUUUGGAUUAGCUAGUUGGUAGGGUAAAAGCCUACCAAGGCGACGAUCCAUAGCUGGUCUGAGAGGAUGAUCAGCCACACUGGGACUGAGACACGGCCCAGACUCCUACGGGAGGCAGCAGUGGGGAAUAUUGGACAAUGGGCGAAAGCCUGAUCCAGCAAUGCCGCGUGAGUGAUGAAGGCCUUAGGGUUGUAAAGCUCUUUUACCCGGGAUGAUAAUGACAGUACCGGGAGAAUAAGCGCCGGCUAACUCCGUG
Molecule: ribosomal RNA, 433 nt
Filed under: uncultured bacterium
Lineage: Bacteria
Description: partial 16S ribosomal RNA
Rfam family: Bacterial small subunit ribosomal RNA
Source: RNAcentral